Molecule: long non-coding RNA, 626 nt
Filed under: Helianthus annuus (common sunflower)
Lineage: Eukaryota; Viridiplantae; Streptophyta; Magnoliopsida; Asterales; Asteraceae
Source: RNAcentral
UUCUCUCCUGUGUUCUUUGUUUGCCUGCUACUACACCUUACCACCCAUAAAACAAAACACAGAGAAUUCAUCAUCUCCCCUCACUCUCAAUGAUACACACAAUACCUUACACAACCACAACCAUCUCGACACCUUCACAACAUCGCUCCAUAUCACCCUCGCACUCGUCGGAAGGAUCAGCCAUCAUCGGAGUUCAGUUGCAACCACCAUUAACGACACCGGCACCGCCCUAAGUUCACGACGGUAUCACGUCGGAACUCGUAUUGUUUCGGUAUACACUACUCAUUUCUGUCAGAUGUGGUUUAACGCAAGUAACGCUAACAGUGGAUAUGUUUUUGUUUCUUUUCUGGUUCAUGUUCGGCAUCUCUCACAAUCCAACCUUUCGCUAUUUCCCUCACUCUCUCGUUAACUUGAAGCCAACCGGAGUUUCUACGAAACUUUCGGACCAACGUUUCGGUUGGUGAUUGAUGACACUAUGAAAAUGGAUAGCGAAGAUGCCUAGAUACUCAUUUAGACGCCUUAAGUUUAAAUCAUUGUAUCAAUUUUGUUAUGAUAUGUUGUCACUUGAAUUUCCUUGUAUGUUUUAACAAUUUAUGAAAUGAAAUCGGUUGAAUUAAAUAUUGUCA